GUAGUGGUACAUGAGGUUUUAGGUUGGUGUGGAUUGCAAGACAGAGAUAGAUGAGCUGAAAUCAUUUACUGUUAAUAAAAGCCUGGGGUAUAAUUAAUUUGCUAAAAUUGCUGAAAACCCUGUUUCGAAGCUGGUGUUGUGAAUGUAAGUUGUGUGAUUUUACUAGGACAGAACCUCAUGGAAGAUACCAGAGAGGGAAAACCCGAGGCAGACGAUGGUGAUGCUGCACUGUCAGGCAAUCAGGAUGGGAAGGAUGCUGCGCAGCAAGAGGUUCCAACCAGUACAGGGUUGCCUGUCUCCAAGAACCAGAUGAAGAAAAUGAUGAAAAUGGAAGACUGGAAGGAAAGAAGAAUGGCCAAAAGGCUGAAGGAAAGGGAGAAGAGAAAGUUGAAGAAGAUUCAGGAGAGAGAAGGAAUGCCGGAGGUUGUCGACGACGGCCAAGUCCGCAUCAAGAAACGACGGAUGAACGACCCUGAGGCUAGUGAUGUCAGGGUGGCCAUCGACUGCACCUACGACCAUCUCAUGAAUGACCUGGAAAUCAAGAAGCUCUGCAAGCAGGUCCAGCGGUGCUACGCUGAGAACCGCAGCCUGACCAACAAGCCGCUGCAGCUCUACAUCUGCGGCUUGGUGGGGAGAUUCCAAGAGAUCAGCGAACAGGUCAUCACUGGCUACAAGAGCUGGGAUGUUCACUGGAAGACGGAUGGACCCGAGGCGACGUUUGGCCGGGACAACAUUGUGUAUCUGUCGUCAGAAUCACCCAACUUACUGACAGAACUGCAGUCAGACAAGGUGUACAUCAUUGGAGGUCUAGUUGAUCACAAUCAUCACAAGGGUCAUUGUUUUGCACUCGCUGAGAAACACGGCUGGUCGCAUGCCCAACUGCCCAUCAGUGACUACGUCAUGCUCAGAGACAGAAAAGUCCUGACGAUUAAUCAUGUUUACGAGAUACUCCUGGCUUUCAUCAAAACAAAAGACUGGAAGGAAGCAUUCCUGAGGGUCCUACCCCAGCGGAAGCUUGCAACUGUCAAGGAUCCCUCAGAGGCCAAAGGUGAAAGUUCAGAUGCCGUGACCUCUGACAAGGUUGAUUUGGUGUCAGGAGAGGCGACAGAGGAGGGCAGUACAAGCUAGCACAGAGUCACCAUGUCAAAUGAAAGCAAUGGGGUAGUUGGUCAAGACAAUGGGAGGUGGUGCAGUUGGGCGGAUUGAGCUGUGAUGUGGCGGGGGAAGGCUGUUAACUAAAGCUUCUUUGUCUUCAGUAUGUUCAGUGUGAUUGGUAAACAGAUGAUGACUGGCAGGAACUCCUUCUACAGAACUUCACCCUCCAUGCAACGCACAGUACCCUCCAUGCAAGGGACAACAGCAUUCUUACCCUCCAUGCAACGCACAGUACCCUCCAUGCAAGGGACAACAGCAUUCUUACCCUCCAUGCAACGCACAGUACCCUCCAUGCAAGGGACAACAGCAUUCUUACCCUCCAUGCAACGCACAGUACCCUCCAUGCAAGGGACAACAGCAUUCUUACCCUCCAUGCAACGCACAGUACCCUCCAUGCAAGGGACAACAGCAUUCUUACCCUCCAUGCAACGCACAGUACCCUCCAUGCAAGGGACAACAGCAUUCUUACCCUCCAUGCAACGCACAGUACCCUCCAUGCAAGGGACAACAGCAUUCUUACCCUCCAUGCAACGCACAGUACCCUCCAUGCAAGGGACAACAGCAUUCUUACCCUCCAUGCAACGCACAGUACCCUCCAUGCAAGGGACAACAGCAUUCUUACACUCCAUGCAACGCACAAUACCCUACAUGCAAGGGACAACAGCGUUCUUACCCUCCAUGCAACGGACAACUGUGUUCCUACCUAUUAAAGUAACUUUGGUCGCAAGAGGGCAGUGAAGUCUAAGAAUUAUGAGGGAUUUAAAUCAUUUUAAUUGGUCUCUGCUAUUAAAUUAAUAUUCGCCAAUUGUAAAUAGAUCCUUUACUCGUGGGACACUUUCUGUAUUAAAAGGCUAAAAAAUUGUGCAAGCUAGAAUUUUUAAUGGUAAAUUGGUUCAUCGUUGGUCUCCAUGAGUUCAACUGGAUCAGUUGAAACUUUAAUGCGCAAUUUUUGAAACGAACGAAAUCGAACAUAGCGAUGUUUUAGCGAAUCUACUUGCAUUUUUGUUUGCGCAUUUUGAAGUAAGGACUUGAGUUCACUUUUCCCUCUGGAAGUUUUCGAAUGCCUCUUGUCAAGACCACAAGGAGAGGAAUACAAGAUUUCACCAUACCAGGUAAGCUAAAAAACAUCUUUGAAUUUAAACUUAAAUUGCCACAAGUUCCCUGUGAAUUAAUUUAGUAAUUAUCAAGUUAUUGUUGUGUGGUUUGGGUGUGAAUAUGAAUUCAAAGUCGACUAAAUGUUUGUUUUCUAACUUAAUUUAGUUUCACAUUAUUCGAUUUUAAUUUUGGGUAAUACAUUUUAAAACUUGCUAGGCCUAUGGCAUGCGUUACAAUCAUCUUGAUUAGUUACAUUUUUUUCCCAAUUUUUGUUUACAUGGCCUAGUUUGUGAUUUUAUUCUUAAAUUAACUUCUUAAUUUACACUUUUGUCUGUUGUCUUUUUCAUAUAAACAUUUGUAUUGUUUAUGUUGUAUACCCAUUAACGUCUCUUUUUAUUUAAGGAAUAUUCGGUUAUGGUAGGCCUAUAUUAAAUUUCCUGUCUGUUUUGAUAUUUUAUACAUUUUUAAAUCUUUAAAUUGCUAGUUUUUGUUUAAUUAAUUUAUAUUUAUAUGCUCAGGACCCUGUGGAAGACCACAUAUGUGAAUGGGCUACCCUGAUAAAAGAUCAGAAAUAAAUAAAUAUUAAUUUUUGGUAAUUUUUUUAUUUAUUUCAGGUUUUCAUGCAGU
Patiria miniata (bat star) is the source of this 2877-nucleotide RNA transcript. It is a transcript of the gene named tRNA methyltransferase 10 homolog A-like, with no coding region annotated. Lineage: Eukaryota; Metazoa; Echinodermata; Asteroidea; Valvatida; Asterinidae. The record is from RefSeq and is a predicted model, not a curated record. The transcript has 9 exons.